This 130-nucleotide non-coding RNA is filed under the name Cricetulus griseus (Chinese hamster). Its description in RNAcentral is "Eukaryotic small subunit ribosomal RNA". It matches the Rfam family "Eukaryotic small subunit ribosomal RNA", at positions 986 to 1112 of the family's 1831-position model. Lineage: Eukaryota; Metazoa; Chordata; Mammalia; Rodentia; Cricetidae. The record is from Rfam by way of RNAcentral.
AAAGUCGGAGGUUUGAAGAUGAUCAGAUACCGUCGUAGUUCGGACCAUAAACGAUGCCGGCAGGCAAUGCAGCAGUGGAGUUAUUCCCAUGACCCACCAAGCAGCUUCCAGGAAACUAAAGACUUCAGAU